Molecule: ribosomal RNA, 253 nt
Filed under: uncultured bacterium
Lineage: Bacteria
Description: partial 16S ribosomal RNA
Rfam family: Bacterial small subunit ribosomal RNA
Source: RNAcentral
UACGUACCGUCCAAACGUUAUUCGGUAUCACUGGGCUUAAAGCGUUCGUAGGCGGCCUAGAAGGUGUGAUGUGAAAGCCCACGGCUCAACCGUGGAACUGCGUCGCAAACCACUAGGCUUGAGGAAGACAGGGGUGAAGGGAACUUAUGGUGGAGCGGUGAAAUGCGUUGAUAUCAUAGGGAACACCGGUGGCGAAAGCGCUUCACUGGGUCUUUUCUGACGCUGAGGAACGAAAGCUAGGGUAGCGAACGGG